GACAGAGGGUGCGAACGUUGUUCGGAAUUACUGGGCGUAAAGCGCGUGUAGGCUGCUUUGCAAGUCGGGUGUGAAAGCCCUGGGCUCAACCCGGGAAGUGCACUCGAAACUGCAAAGCUUGAGUCCUGGAGAGGAAAGCGGAAUUCUCGGUGUAGAGGUGAAAUUCGUAGAUAUCGAGAGGAACACCGGUGGCGAAGGCGGCUUUCUGGACAGUGACUGACGCUGAGACGCGAAAGCGUGGGGAG
This 245-nucleotide ribosomal RNA is filed under the name uncultured bacterium. RNAcentral describes it as "partial 16S ribosomal RNA". It matches the Rfam family "Bacterial small subunit ribosomal RNA", at positions 524 to 768 of the family's 1533-position model. The record is from RNAcentral.